AUUGAACGCUGGCGGCAUGCUUUACACAUGCAAGUCGAACGGCAGCACGGGUGCUUGCACCUGGUGGCGAGUGGCGGACGGGUGAGUAAUACAUCGGAACGUAUCCUAAAGUGGGGGAUAACGCAUCGAAAGAUGUGCUAAUACCGCAUACACUCUGAGGAGGAAAGUAGGGGAUCGAAAGACCUUAUGCUUUUGGAGCGGCCGAUGUCUGAUUAGCUAGUUGGUAAGGUAAUGGCUUACCAAGGCAACGAUCAGUAGUUGGUCUGAGAGGACGACCAGCCACACUGGGACUGAGACACGGCCCAGACUCCUACGGGAGGCAGCAGUGGGGGAAUUUUUGGACAAUGGGCGCAAGCCCUGAUCCAGCCAUUCCGCGUGCAGGAUGAAGGCCUUCGGUUAGUAACUGUCUUUGUACGGUAACG
This 422-nucleotide ribosomal RNA is filed under the name uncultured bacterium. Its description in RNAcentral is "bacterial SSU rRNA". It matches the Rfam family "Bacterial small subunit ribosomal RNA", at positions 30 to 448 of the family's 1533-position model. The record is from RNAcentral.